AUUGAACGCUGGCGGCAUGCCUUACACAUGCAAGUCGAACGGCAGCGGGGGAGAAGCUUGCUUUUCCUGCCGGCGAGUGGCGAACGGGUGAGUAAUACAUCGGAACGUGUCCUGUAGUGGGGGAUAACUAGUCGCAAGAUUAGCUAAUACCGCAUACGACCUGAGGGUGAAAGGGGGGGACUGCAAGGCCUCAUGAUAUAGGAGCGGCCGAUGUCUGAUUAGCUAGUUGGUGGGGUAAAGGCCUACCAAGGCGACGAUCAGUAGCUGGUCUGAGAGGAAGAUCAGCCACACUGGGACUGAGACACGGCCCAGACUCCUACGGGAGGCAGCAGUGGGGAAUUUUGGACAAUGGGCGAAAGCCUGAUCCAGCAAUGCCGCGUGUGUGAAGAAGGCCUUCGGGUUGUAAAGCACUUUUGUCCGGAAAGAAAUGGCUCUGGUUAAUACCUGGGGUCGAUGACGGUACCGGAAGAAUAAGGACCGGCUAACUACGUGCCAGCCGCCGCCGUAA
RNAcentral lists this ribosomal RNA (508 nucleotides) under uncultured bacterium. Its description in RNAcentral is "partial 16S ribosomal RNA". It matches the Rfam family "Bacterial small subunit ribosomal RNA", at positions 30 to 523 of the family's 1533-position model. The record is from RNAcentral.